This 77-nucleotide transfer RNA is filed under the name Clostridium sp. Its description in RNAcentral is "tRNA-Arg". It matches the Rfam family "tRNA". From Rfam's summary of the family: Transfer RNA (tRNA) molecules are approximately 80 nucleotides in length. RNAcentral also lists the same sequence under 4 other names. Lineage: Bacteria; Bacillati; Bacillota; Clostridia; Eubacteriales; Clostridiaceae. The record is from RNAcentral.
GUCCAUGUACCUCAGUAGGAUAGAGGGUUCGCCUCCUAAGCGAAACGCCGCAGGUUCGAUUCCUGUCAUGGACGCCA